This is a long non-coding RNA of Ipomoea nil (Japanese morning glory), 131 nucleotides long. RefSeq lists it as uncharacterized. The transcript has 3 exons. The record is from RefSeq and is a predicted model, not a curated record. NCBI's taxonomy places the organism in Eukaryota, Viridiplantae, Streptophyta, Magnoliopsida, Solanales, Convolvulaceae.
AGUGCUGUGAUAGGGAAAAAUAAGUAUAAUCAAAUUUUAGAUUUAAUUGUGGGGUAAAAUAGGAAAUAGCAACUUUAGCCUAUUCCUGAGAACUCAAGAAUAGCUUAAUACCAGGGGGCCUAAGAACCUCU